GCGGCGGUAGUUCAGUUGGUAGAACGUCUCGUUGCCAACGAGAAGGUCGCCAGUUCGAACCUGGUUCGCCGCU
Molecule: transfer RNA, 73 nt
Filed under: Candidatus Dojkabacteria bacterium
Lineage: Bacteria
Description: tRNA-Gly
Rfam family: tRNA
About the family: Transfer RNA (tRNA) molecules are approximately 80 nucleotides in length.
Source: RNAcentral